Numida meleagris (helmeted guineafowl) is the source of this 2901-nucleotide long non-coding RNA. The record is from Ensembl. NCBI's taxonomy places the organism in Eukaryota, Metazoa, Chordata, Aves, Galliformes, Numididae.
CAACUGGGAGGGACUGGGAGGGACUGGGAGGGGCAGGAGGUGGGACUGGGGGAGAAGGGGAGGGACUGGGAGCAACUGGGAGGGACUGGGAGGGAAUGGGAGGGGAAAGAGGUGGGACUGGGAGGGAAUGGGAGGAACUGGGAGGGAAUGGGAGGGAAUGGGAGGGGGGGAGGUAGGACUGGGAGGGAAUGGGACAGACUGGGAGGUGAUACUGGGAGGGACUGGGAGGGGAAGGAGGUGGGACUGGGACGGACUGGGAGGGACUGGGAGAGACUGGGAGGGAAUGGGAGGGGGAGGAGGUGAUACUGGGAGGGACUGGGAGCAACUGGGAGGGACUGGGAAGGACUGGGAGUAACUGGGAGGGACUGGGAGGGAUUGGGACGGUCUGGGAGGGGGGGGAGGUGGGACUGGGAGGGAAUGGGAUGAACUGGGACGGACUGGGAGGGGAAGGAGGUGGGACUGGGAGGGAAUGGGAGGGACUGGGAGGGACUGGGAGGGGAUGGGAGGUCAGAUGGGGUCAUACUGGGAGGAACUGGGAGAGAAUGGGAGGGACUGGGAGGGGAUGGGACUGGGAGGGAACUGGGAGGGACUGGGACUGGGAGCAACUGGGAGGGGAAGGAGGUGGGACUGGGAGGGACUGGGAGGGGGAGGAGGUGGGACUGGGAGGGACUGGGAGGUGAUACUGGGAGGGACUGGGAGCAACUGGGAGGGACUAGGACAGGCUGGGAGGGACUGGGAGAGGGAAUGGGGGCAACUGGAAGAGACUGGGAGGGACUGGAAGAGACUGGGAGGGACUGGGAGAGACUGGGAGGGGAAGGAGGUGGGACUGGGACGGACUGGGACGGACUGGGAUGGACUGGGAUGGACUGGGACGGACUGGGAGGUGGGACGGGGUUAUACUGGGAGGGACUGGGAGAGAACUGGGAGGGACUGGGUCGUACUGGGAGGCGGCCCUUGGUUAUGCUGGGCUGUACUGGGCUGUACUGGGCCACAUUGGGUCACACUGGGCCUUACUGGGUCAUACUGGGAAGCGCUCCUGGGUCAUACUGGUCCAUACUGGUCCAUACUGGUCCGUACUGGGAUCCCAUUCCCCCCCCCCAUUCCCAGUGCUCCCAGUGCUGGAGCGGGUCCUGGUGGCUUAUACUGGUCCAUACCUGUCCACCCUAAUCCAUACUGGUUCAUACUGGUCUAAACUGGUCCGUACUGGUCCGUACUGGUCCAUACUGGGAUCCCGUUCCCCCCUCCCAGUGCUCCCAGUCCUGGAGCGGGUCCUGGUGCCUUAUCCUGGUCUGUACUGGUCCAUAUCUCCCCGUAUCUGCCCAUUCUUGUUCAUUCUGGUCUAUACUUGUCCAUACUGGUCCGUACUGGUCCAUACUGGUCCAUACUGGGAUCCCAUUCCCCCCCCCAUUCCCAGUGCUCCCAGUUCUGGAGCGGGUCCUGGUGCCUUAUACUGGUCUGUACUGGUCCAUAUCUGCCCGUAUCUGCCCACACUUGUCCAUACUGGUCUAUACUUGUCCAUGCUGGUCCAUACUGGUCUGUACUGGUCCAUACUGGUCCGUACUGGCCCAUACUGGGAUCCCCUUCCCCCCUCCCAGUGCUCCCAGUGCUGGAGCAGGUCCUGGUGCCUUAUACUGGUCUGUACUGGUCCAUAUCUCCCCGUAUCUGCCCACACUUGUCCAUACUGGUCUAUACUUGUCCAUACUGGUCUAUACUUGUCCAUACUGGUCUAUACUUGUCCAUACUGGUCCGUACUGGUCCAUACUGGGAUCCCGUUGCCCCCUCCCAGUGCUCCCAGUGCUGGAGCGGGUCCUGGUGCNNNNNNNNNNNNNNNNNNNNNNNNNNNNNNNNNNNNNNNNNNNNNNNNNNNNNNNNNNNNCCAGGUUGUGGGUCCCGCCCCCUAACCCCUGCCCCAUAGCGGACAAGCUGUGGUGCACGUCGGGCUGCGCCAACUCCCAGGUUGUGGGUCCCAGGCUGGAGUUGUGGGUCCCAGGUUGUGGGUCCCGCCCCCUAACCCCUGCCCCAUAGCGGACGAGCCGUGGCGCACGUCGGGCCGCGCCAACUUCUUGAUGUCCCAGUCUGUGGGUCCCAGGCUGGACUUGUGGGUCCCAGGUUGUGGGUCCCAGGUUGUGGGUCCCAGGCUGGAGUUAUGGGUCCCAGUCUGUGGGUCCCAGGUUGUGGGUCCCAGGCUGGAGUUGUGGGUCCUGCCCCCUAUCCCUGCCCCAUAGCGGACGAGCCGUGGCGCACGUCGGGCUGGGCCAACUCCUUGAUGUCCCAGUCUGUAGGUCCUGGUCUGUGGGUCCCAGGCUGGAGUUGUGGGUCCCAGGUUGUGGGUCCCGGGCUGUGGGUCCCAGGUUGUGGGUCCCGCCCCCUAACCCCUGCCCCAUAGCGGACGAGCCGUGACCCCAGGUUGUGGGUCACCCCCUAACCCCUGCCCCAUAGUGGACAAGCUGUGGCGCAUGUCGGGCCGGGCCAACUCCUCCAUGUACCAGGUUGUGGGUCCCAGUCUAUGGGUCCCAGUAUGGGGUUGUGGGUCCCAGGUUGUGGGUCCCGCCCCCUAACCCCUGCCCCAUAGCGGAUGAGCCGUGGCGCACGUCGGGCCGCGCCAACUCCUUGAUGUCCCAGGUUGUGGGUCCCAGUCUGUAGGUCCCAGUCUAUGGGUCCCAGUAUGGGGUUGUGGGUCCCAGCCUGGACUUGUGGGUCUGUGGGUCACCCCCUUAACCCGUGCCCCAUAGCGGACAGGUGCCAGGUUGUGAGUCCCAGGCUGUGGGUCCCAGUCUAUAGAUCCCAGACUGGAGUUGUGGGUCCCAGUCUAUGGAUCCCAGUCUGGACUUGUGGGUCCCAGGUUGUGGGUCCCAGGUUGUGGGUCCCGCCCCCUAACCCCGUGCCCCAUAGCGGACGAGC